This is a non-coding RNA of Ricinus communis (castor bean), 105 nucleotides long. Lineage: Eukaryota; Viridiplantae; Streptophyta; Magnoliopsida; Malpighiales; Euphorbiaceae. The record is from Rfam.
GUGUUCGGACAAAGGAGAGAUGGUUGGCACUUCCCUGACAGGGACGGGAACAACCUUCAGGAUUAUCUGUUACCAGCACAUACUAACUAUAACCCAAUUUUUUUU